GUGCAGAAAUCAAGAAUGUGCAUUGGAUGACUUUUCACAGAGUAAACCCAGACGUGAAAGAAAGCACACAAACCAGAGACAGAAUAUCAACGGCAGCAACCUUGGCCACCUUCUGAUCCCAAGGGCCACCAAAGGAAAUUGAUAACCUGACUACAAACACCGUAGAUCCGACUUUGACAUUGAUCUUGAAGCUGGCCUUCCAACCCCAUGCAACCCCACGCCUUCCCACGUCAGUGGAGUAGUCAGAAGGUGAACUCCAUGAGGACAGGAAAACAGUCUCUCCUCUGCCCUUAGUAUGGAGGACAGCGCCUGCACAAGGCUCACAAGGGGAGCAGGUGGCCUGGAAUUUGCAGGGAACCAGAGUGAGUAAUCACAGUGGAGAAGAGGCACAGAAUAUUCUAUCCCAGAUAUAUAUUGCAGCCUAAGAGAACGUCUAUCUGCCAGAAGCCAGUGUUUGGCAUGAGAUUCGGCCAACAGAGGGAUCUGUGGGAUGAAGGAAAAAACACAGUGAAGACGUGAAAAGAGGAAAGCAGGCAUCCACAGAGAUGGUUUUGCUGCUAUGAAUAGCCAUGUGCCGGAUUUUGUGCGGAUGUAAAUAUCAAGGAGUAUUGGGAUAAGUACCAAGGAGCGGGACUGCUGGGUCAGAUGACACGAUGAGGAGUCGGCAGUCUACAGCCCAGAAGAGGGUUCUCCCAGGAACCACACCAUGCCAGCACCCCGAUCUUGGACUUGAAGCCUCCAGAACCACAAGAAGUCAGGAUUGAGAGCUCUCAGGGCUGGGGUUGACCUUGAAUCCAAGCGCAUUGAUUUCCAUAAAAGCAGACAACCAUACGAUAAAGAGAUACGUUCCAUGGCAGAGACAGGUAAUGCUCACCUACAUUGGGUCACCUCCUUUCCCGGGUGCAUGAAAGGAUUACAUGUCUCCACUCACACGCCCCUUGAAAGUUGGGUCAGACCAUUAGUUCUGGCCAAUUGGUUGUGAGCAGAGUGGAGGCAUAUUUCUUCUGGAUCAGAGCAUUUAAUUGCUCAUGUGAAAUCUUCCAGGCUGUCUUCCCUGCCUUGGCAAUCAUGGAAAUGUGCGUGCGAUGGAAAUGCUAUAGGACGGAAGCAACCUAGAGCUCCAGAUCACUUCGUGAAGACUGAGAAGACCACGUCCAAGAGCACGUCCAUGAGUGUGGUUUCCAUCCGCAGCCAGGAGAAGGCUCCUGUCGUGCAGGGUUGCUGUUGUUUGUUAGCUACCCAUCAUUCCGUAAGCACUUAUUAUGAUUCAGCCACUGUGCUGAGUUCUGUGGGCCUUAUGUCAUUUAAAUCCUGCAAUAACCCUAUGAGAAGAUUUGGGAUUUUCCCAGGGACAAAUACCUAAAACAUGGUAAAGCUACGAAUUCUCAUCCUUGAGCUGAACUUACUCCAGUCUGAUAAGUUUUUAUUGUUAAA
Mustela erminea (ermine) is the source of this 1434-nucleotide long non-coding RNA. RefSeq lists it as uncharacterized. The transcript is spliced from 7 exons. The record is from RefSeq and is a predicted model, not a curated record. NCBI's taxonomy places the organism in Eukaryota, Metazoa, Chordata, Mammalia, Carnivora, Mustelidae.